UUAGCUCUCUUUGCCUUUUGGCUUAGAUCAAGUGUAGUAUCUGUUCUUUUCAGUUUAAUCUCUGAAAGGCCUCUAAGGAGGCUAAUCUUGAUUAUUCUUAUUUUUGGAACUCGGAUGGGAUCCUCUGUGCCUAGCGCAUGGUGCCGUCCACUGUGUCCCUGGUAUUACACUGUCUCCAGGUGACGCGAACUACG
RNAcentral lists this small nuclear RNA (194 nucleotides) under Ophiocordyceps sinensis. RNAcentral's name for it is "U2 spliceosomal RNA". It matches the Rfam family "U2 spliceosomal RNA". From Rfam's summary of the family: U2 is a small nuclear RNA (snRNA) component of the spliceosome (involved in pre-mRNA splicing). Lineage: Eukaryota; Fungi; Ascomycota; Sordariomycetes; Hypocreales; Ophiocordycipitaceae. The record is from Rfam by way of RNAcentral. RNAcentral also lists the same sequence under 1 other name.